UAUCAAUGCAGAGUACAAGAAAAGUCCUUCGUCACUCAAUCGGUAAAUAAUGUAACAAAUAAACCAAUAUGUUACAGGUAUUCCAAUACCAGUUUUGUAACAUCAUAAUGUUCUGUACUUAAUCUACCUACAAUAUGAUUUUACUUUUGUUGUCUUACUGAUGGUGAGCAAUGUCUAAUUUUUCUACAAUUUGGUAAAGAUCUUUAUUUAUUGACAAGAGUUCAGCGAUAGUUAAUGCUUCAAGGUAAAUGUAAAAUAUAUUUUUGCUACUAUUGUC
Molecule: long non-coding RNA, 277 nt
Organism: Xenia sp. Carnegie-2017
Lineage: Eukaryota; Metazoa; Cnidaria; Anthozoa; Malacalcyonacea; Xeniidae
Exons: 3
Source: RefSeq, a predicted model, not a curated record